Molecule: long non-coding RNA, 206 nt
Filed under: Mytilus galloprovincialis (Mediterranean mussel)
Lineage: Eukaryota; Metazoa; Mollusca; Bivalvia; Mytilida; Mytilidae
Source: RNAcentral
AAACAAAUAUAUACUAGUUCAGUGAUAAUGAACGCCAUACUAAUUUCCAAAUUGUACACAAGAAACUAAAAUUAAAAUAAUACAAGACUAACAAAGGCCAGAGGCUCCUAACUUGGGACAGGCGCAAAAAUGCGGCGGGGUUAAACAUGUUUGUGGGAUCUCAACCCUCCCCCUAUACCUCUAGCCAAUGUAGAAAAGUAAACGCA